Molecule: long non-coding RNA, 636 nt
Filed under: Oryza sativa Indica Group (long-grained rice)
Lineage: Eukaryota; Viridiplantae; Streptophyta; Magnoliopsida; Poales; Poaceae
Description: lncRNA OsIR64_03g0009520
Source: RNAcentral
AUGGCCGGCGACGAAGGCGACGACCGAAGAAGGCCCGCGACAGAGUUGGGACACCGGCGGAGGGCACACCGGCCAGCCACGCGGAUGGAGCCGGGGAUGGGCGUUAAUGGCGGCACCGUGGAUGGCGGGCUGCGGUGCUGGAGCUCCAGGCGACAAUCUGGCGACCACGUCGCCGACGGCCACAUGGCUGGCGACGGAGUUGGGGCGCACCGGCUGGCCACGCGGAUGGAGCCGGAGGUGGGCGUUAACGGCGGUGCCGUGGACGGCGAGCAGUGGUGCUCGAGCACUAGGCGACAAUCCGGCAACCACGUCGCUGACGGCCGCGCCCUCCUCUCGCCGAGCAGGUCUUCUUCCCCAGCCUGCGCCGGAGUCGCCGACGGCCACCUCCUCCUCACGGCUCAGGCACUCAGCCUCGUUCCUCUUUGGAUGGGAAAGGUGGACAAAAUGUAUCCCAUCCCGAUGCUUCGGUGCGAAUCUCUGAAGCAUCGGCUUCCCCGCGACGGCGGCGCCGGACAGGACUCCGCCGAGGAUGCCGGCGACAAUCAUCGACCUUGGGCCGGACGCGAUGCGGUAGAGCGCCCCGGCGCUGGCCCCCGCGGCGACGGUGUUGACCCAGUCGUCGGCGACGUCGCACUG